AUGUUAUGUUGUAAUUACUGUGUUUACGAAUUUAGCACCAAAAUAUCACGAUAUAUUGAAAACAUUGACUACAAAAAUGGCUUGGAUAAGCAAGUGAGACUCUACUGUGUGUGUGUAUAUAUAUAUGUGUGUGUGUGUGUGUGUGUGUGUCUAUGUAUAUAUAUAUACGUUUUUUUGUUUUGUUUUUUCGUGUCAGGAGCAACUGGAGUUGCUUCUGGAGUAAGAGAAUUGGCCAUCUGCAAGGAUGUUGCCCAGGGGAUGCCCAGAUGUUUUGAUGUUUUACCAUCCUUGUGGGAGGCUUCUCUCAUGUCCCCGCAUGGAGCUGGAGCUGAUAGAGGGAGCUCAUCCGCACUCUCCCCGGGUGGGAUUCGAACCUGGCAGCUUUCAGGUCAGCAACCCAACCUUCAAGUCACAAGGCUUUUAUCCCCUAGGCCACCGGAGGCUCUAUAUAUACAUGUAUGUGUGUGUUAAGGAUCAAAGAAACCCAAAAGAAAGUAAUCUCUAAAUGGUACAGAACCCCCCUCCAAUUAGCACACAUAAAGGGAAAUACCUCAAACAUGUGUUGGCACAAAUGUGGGGGAAUAGGUUCAUUCUCUCACAUGUGGUGGGACUGUAGUAAAAUUCAGAACUUUUAUAGUAAAAUAAGAAAAGUAGUGGAAGAAAUAAUAGGGAAUGAAUUAAUAUGGGAUAAAGCCAGAUACAUGUUUCUAGGAUCCACAGAUUGAAGCUGACUUGACAACAAUUAACAACAAAAAUUAACCAAAAAAAUUUGUCAUGGUUCAAUGCUAUAGAAUCAGGGGAAGAGUAGUUUUUCAAGGUCUUCUGCAUUAAUUCUACAGUGUUGAUGCACCCAGAACUGGUAUAUAAUAAGCAUUCUAUGCACACUACUAAAAUCAUAAUUGAAAUCUCUUAGAUUUUUCUUGUUAUGUGCCUUCAUGUCAGUUCCAACUUUUAGCAAUGCUACCCUAGGAUGUUCCCAGCAAAAUUUAUUUGGAGGGGGUUUGCCAUUGUUUUACUCUUAAGGCUGACAGAGAGUGACCUGUCCAGUGUUGUUGAGUGGAUUUCCAUCUCUGAAAGGGGAUUUGAACUUUAGUCUCACAGAGAGCUAGCCCAACUCUUAGACGACUACAUUACACUGGCUCCAAGCUACUCAGCUCCUACCACCUAGGAACAUAACAGGGCAAACGUGUAAUCUGGGCAAACAGGAACAUCUGGAUCAGGCACCUCACUCAAACAGGUAAGAGCAGUCCCUAUGGAAAUGGAUAUCCAGAAUCUGGGUGUGCUCAACGUCUACUAUACUGUUACCUUUAUACCACACCCAGCAGCUUGUUUUCUUGCUUGAAGCAAGAUUCCUGAUGCCAGGCAGUUACACUUCCUCUUAAACUGCCACACGUUCCUUCCAUUCCCAUAGACAAUAUGUUCUGAGAAGUCCUCUAAAGAUCUUGUAUUGUACUUGGCUUAGUCUCAUAUAGCUUAACAAGGGACAAAGGCUGAGCUCUGACCCACUAUUUUGUCAUUUUGAGGGCAGUAUUCUGUGUUCAAGAAGAUGGUUUGGUGCUGUCUUUUUCCAUUGCUGCUAGAUGGUUAUCAAUUUGUCAGUGCCUACUCAUGUUGAUUUUACCUGCAUUCCUGACUUUUAUAUUUUAUUCAUCUAUACAGAAUAAAACUCAGGAUGGACACCACCUUUCUUAUUAGAAUGUUUUAUGUAUAAGAAAAGCCCAUUGCUCUCCUGCUAUGGAUUGGACAGUUAUUUGAUUAUGAGUUCAGUGCAAUGAAAAAUUUUAAAAUCCUAGAAGAUGAAUGAGAAGGUAUAGGCAAAAGGAGAGGAAAUAACUUUCUGACACUAAAGAUGAUUUCCCCAAAAUAAAAUAAAAAACACAGAAAGGAUAUCUAUAGCCUAAGGCUACCAGGGUCUAGAGAGAAAACAUAACAUCACAGGAAAGAUGGCAGUGCAAAAAAGGACCAAAAAGCUGGUUACAGUGCCCCAGGUUGUAAGUGAAUAGAUGCAUGCUUAAGGCAAAUCCUAGUUUUAGUAUAGAAUUUAUCGCUGCUUGAACUCAAUGCAACAUGUGGAUUAGACAAAUUAGACUGUUAUGUUUUAUCCUAGGGCCUUGAUUCACGUCAAAGUAAGAAACUAUACAUAAAUCUUCUACAAAUGUAACUUCGCCUGCUGAACAGCUCUAAGAAUACAAUGCAGUGUUGAGCACUGGAUGUUUAAUUUCUGGGGAGCAUUUUGGGGCUAUAAGAAUUACAUUUAUAAUAAUAUGAAAAAGUGUUAUUGAGCUUAUACUUAAAUUAGAAUAUUGAUUGUCUUCCAUCAAGGUUAAGCGCUUUCCAGAUUUUGGGGUAUUUUGGAAAUUAAGAUUUGCUUCCUGAUCGAUCUCAUCUCUAAGAUAUCUCAUUAUGUGUAUAUAUGCAAAUCCAGAUAUUCCAAAAUCCAAAACAUUUUUGGUUCCAAGAGGGAUACGGGAUAUUAAAUCUGUAUUUUGGCACACAGUGUUUUUCAAUUGUUGGACAAUCCUUUUUUUAAAACCAGUGUUUACAUAUUCUUCAGCUUAAGUUUUCAUGUUAGCAACACUGCAUGAAUUUUUGCUUUCUGAGAAAUGGAAAGCCACAGAAAAACAUAGGACUUCAUCAAACAGAGGAAAAUGGGGAAAGUGAGGAAAAGUGGAGGGAACUGUCUUAACCCAUUCCCUCCCAUCUUUCCCUGUCUUCUGGGAUGGUCAGCAAUCUCAUGUAAUUACUACACCUUUCCCCGCCUUUCCCUCGCUUUCUCCUGCUUUUUAAUGCUUGGAGUCAAGUAACAUCUGACUCCUGAAGAUGGCACCUAGGCUCAGUUUCUAUGUGCUUAGGAAACAUAGCCCCUGGAGUCCCACCAGACAUGCUCUUGUGAUGGCCUUUGUGAGGCUCCCAUGAGGCUCUGCUUUCUAAGCACAUGGAAACAUAGCAGCUGUCUGAUGAAGUCCUUAGAACAGAUUUCAAGAUGCUCAAAAGAUAAGUCUUCUAUUAAGAAAACCUAU
This 3020-nucleotide long non-coding RNA is filed under the name Anolis carolinensis (green anole). RNAcentral describes it as "lncRNA (ENSACAG00000035549.1)". The record is from RNAcentral. Lineage: Eukaryota; Metazoa; Chordata; Lepidosauria; Squamata; Anolidae.